Molecule: small nuclear RNA, 62 nt
Organism: Callithrix jacchus (white-tufted-ear marmoset)
Lineage: Eukaryota; Metazoa; Chordata; Mammalia; Primates; Cebidae
Gene: U7
Rfam family: U7 small nuclear RNA
About the family: Animal histone pre-mRNAs are spliced by a different mechanism than nuclear pre-mRNAs and self-splicing introns. This processing involves the U7 snRNP, which contains only one RNA species: U7. The 5' end of U7 RNA is thought to base-pair to a conserved spacer element downstream of the cleavage site in histone pre-mRNA.
Source: Ensembl
CAGUGUUACAGCUCUUUUGGAAUUUGUCUAGCAGGCUUUCCGGUUUUCGCCGGAAAGCCCCU